CCCUUAGAUGUUCUGGGCCGCACGCGCGCUACACUGAUGCAUUCAACGAGCCUAUCCUUGACCGACAGGUCCGGGUAAUCUUUGAAUCUGCAUCGUGACGGGGAUAGAUUAUUGCAAUUAUUAAUCUUCAACGAGGAAUGCCUAGUAGGCGCAAGUCAUCAGCUUGCGUCGAUUACGUCCCUGCCCUUUGUACACACCGCCCGUCGCUCCUACCGAUUGGGUGUGCUGGUGAAAUGUUCGGAUCGGCCGUUUGUCGCGGUUUCCGCGUCAUGUGGCUGAGAAGUUCAUUAAACUCUCCCACCGAGAGGAAGGAGAAGUCGUAACA
RNAcentral lists this ribosomal RNA (325 nucleotides) under uncultured eukaryote. RNAcentral describes it as "partial 18S ribosomal RNA". It matches the Rfam family "Eukaryotic small subunit ribosomal RNA", at positions 1470 to 1796 of the family's 1831-position model. The record is from RNAcentral.